RNAcentral lists this ribosomal RNA (685 nucleotides) under uncultured Clostridium sp. RNAcentral's name for it is "bacterial SSU rRNA". It matches the Rfam family "Bacterial small subunit ribosomal RNA", at positions 28 to 741 of the family's 1533-position model. Lineage: Bacteria; Bacillati; Bacillota; Clostridia; Eubacteriales; Clostridiaceae. The record is from RNAcentral.
GAUGAACGCUGGCGGCGUGCCUAACACAUGCAAGUCGAGCGAUUCUCUUCGGAGAAGAGCGGCGGACGGGUGAGUAACGCGCGGGUAACCUGCCCUGUACACACGGAUAACAUACCGAAAGGUAUGCUAAUACGAGAUAACAUAAGAAAUUCGCAUGUUUUUCUUAUCAAAGCUCCGGCGGUACAGGAUGGACCCGCGUCUGAUUAGCUAGUUGGUGAGGUAACGGCUCACCAAGGCGACGAUCAGUAGCCGACCUGAGAGGGUGAUCGGCCACAUUGGAACUGAGACACGGUCCAAACUCCUACGGGAGGCAGCAGUGGGGAAUAUUGCACAAUGGGCGAAAGCCUGAUGCAGCAACGCCGCGUGAGCGAUGAAGGCCUUCGGGUCGUAAAGCUCUGUCCUCAAGGAAGAUAAUGACGGUACUUGAGGAGGAAGCCCCGGCUAACUACGUGCCAGCAGCCGCGGUAAUACGUAGGGGGCUAGCGUUAUCCGGAUUUACUGGGCGUAAAGGGUGCGUAGGCGGUCUUUUAAGUCAGGAGUGAAAGGCUACGGCUCAACCGUAGUAAGCUCUUGAAACUGGAGGACUUGAGUGCAGGAGAGGAGAGUGGAAUUCCUAGUGUAGCGGUGAAAUGCGUAGAUAUUAGGAGGAACACCAGUAGCGAAGGCGGCUCUCUGGACUGUAACU